CCUACGGGUGGCAGCAGUGGGGAAUAUUGGGCAAUGGGCGCAAGCCUGACGCAGCAACGCCGCGUGAAGGAAGAAGGCUUUCGGGUUGUAAACUUCUUUUAUCAGGGACGAAGCAAGUGACGGUACCGGAUGAAUAAGCCACUGCUAACUACGGGCCAGCAGCCGCGGUAAGACGUAGGUGGCAAGCGUUAUGCGGAUUUACUGGGUGUAAAGGGCGGGUAGGCGGGAGUGAAAGUCAGAUGUGAAAAUUAUGGGCUCAACCCAUAGCCUGCAUUUGAAACUGUACUUCUUGAGUGCUGGAGAGGCAAUCGGAAUUCCGUGGGUAGCGGUGAAAUGCGUAGAUAUACGGAGGAACACCAGUGGCGAAGGCGGAUUGCUGGACAGUAACUGACGCUGAGGCGCGAAAGCGUGGGGAGCAAACAGGAUUAGAUACCCGGGUAGUC
This 443-nucleotide ribosomal RNA is filed under the name uncultured bacterium. RNAcentral describes it as "partial 16S ribosomal RNA". It matches the Rfam family "Bacterial small subunit ribosomal RNA", at positions 338 to 795 of the family's 1533-position model. The record is from RNAcentral.